This is an RNA transcript of Coregonus clupeaformis (lake whitefish), 1060 nucleotides long. It is a transcript of the gene named methionine-R-sulfoxide reductase B1-A-like, with no coding region annotated. The transcript is spliced from 4 exons. The record is from RefSeq and is a predicted model, not a curated record. NCBI's taxonomy places the organism in Eukaryota, Metazoa, Chordata, Actinopteri, Salmoniformes, Salmonidae.
ACGUCAUUCAGCAGUCCCUGCCCAUUGCUGCUGUCCCAAAGCAAGCACAAGUCUGAACUUUUCUCAAAGCCGAUAGAUACGAACCGGAUUGAUUAAGGAAAGAGUGCGAGUCAACUGCACUUUUAUACUCACAUUGAGGUUCAUUGCAAGUGGAGUAAUGUCAUUUUGUUCCUUCUUCGGUGGUGAGGUCUUUAAAGACCACUUUAAAACUGGGUUGUAUGUGUGUGCCCAGUGUGGACACCAGCUGUUCUCCAGCAGAUCCAAGUACGAGCAUUCCUCCCCCUGGCCUGCCUUCACUGAGACUGUCCUCCAGGACAGUGUGUCCAAGCACGAGGAAAGACCUGGGGCAUUCAAGGUCCGAUGUGGGAAGUGUGGAAAUGGACUGGGUCAUGAGUUUGUGGGCGACGGGCCAAAGAAAGGACUCUCACGUUUCUGAAUAUUCAGCAGCUCACUGAAGUUCGUCCCUAAAGAUAAGGUAGAUGGACUGUAAGGUGAGCAGCAGGGGUAUGGAGUCACAGUGGUGGUCGAGCAGUAGGAUUCUCUGGAGUCUCUGUGCUGCUGAAGGUGUGGAGGACAGUGGAUGAAGUGUCCUGUGAUAAAGCCCACUCUGGGACCUCCAGGACACUGAUGGUCAAUGUCUUCACUGUACAAGGACAGGGGAACCAAAUAGCCAGCUACAUUACGCAAUAAUGCACAAUCAUAAUAGAACAAUACUACACAAUCAUAACACAGACGCACAAGGAGUCACACGGUUACACAAAGAUAGCCUCUUUCAUUUAAUCAUUGUUUAAUUUUUAUUUGAACAUUGUCAGUGAAAGGGGGGAUCACUACGUAGCCUUCAUAGUGUUGAAUGUAACUUCAAGAGUUCCUAAUUUAUAUACAGUAGUGCUCUGAUGUAUGGCUCAAUCUAUCAAUGUAUAACUAUGUGUUAAUCAGUUCUAUCAAUGACGUUGUGAGCCUCUUAAAGAUAGAUUUUAUUUACAUCACUGUCUAUCGUCUUACGGUCACAAUGUAUAAUAUGCAAACAAAAAGAGAAAUAAAGAUAUACUUUUAUAGAAGA